Trichuris suis (pig whipworm) is the source of this 81-nucleotide non-coding RNA. The record is from Rfam. Lineage: Eukaryota; Metazoa; Nematoda; Enoplea; Trichinellida; Trichuridae.
UAGGCAUUGUAGAAGCGGUUUUCGCUUUGAUCUUUGACAGCUUUUGUGAUCUGAGAUCAUUGUGAAAGCCGUUUCUACAAU